RNAcentral lists this transfer RNA (72 nucleotides) under Deinococcus marmoris. RNAcentral's name for it is "tRNA-Val". It matches the Rfam family "tRNA". Rfam says of the family: Transfer RNA (tRNA) molecules are approximately 80 nucleotides in length. Their secondary structure includes four short double-helical elements and three loops (D, anti-codon, and T loops). Further hydrogen bonds mediate the characteristic L-shaped molecular structure. tRNAs have two regions of fundamental functional importance: the anti-codon, which is responsible for specific mRNA codon recognition, and the 3' end, to which the tRNAs corresponding amino acid is attached (by aminoacyl-tRNA synthetases). tRNAs cope with the degeneracy of the genetic code in two manners: having more than one tRNA (with a specific anti-codon) for a particular amino acid; and 'wobble' base-pairing, i.e. permitting non-standard base-pairing at the 3rd anti-codon position. The record is from RNAcentral. Lineage: Bacteria; Thermotogati; Deinococcota; Deinococci; Deinococcales; Deinococcaceae.
GGGCGGUUAGCUCAGCGGUAGAGCGUUCGCCUUACAAGCGAGUGGUCGUAGGUUCAAAUCCUAUACCGCCCA